This 449-nucleotide ribosomal RNA is filed under the name uncultured bacterium. RNAcentral's name for it is "bacterial SSU rRNA". It matches the Rfam family "Bacterial small subunit ribosomal RNA", at positions 330 to 794 of the family's 1533-position model. The record is from RNAcentral.
UCCAGACUCCUACGGGAGGCAGCAGUGGGGAAUAUUGGGCAAUGGGCGCAAGCCUGACCCAGCAACGCCGCGUGAAGGAAGAAGGCUUUCGGGUUGUAAACUUCUUUUAAGAGGGAAGAGUAGAAGACGGUACCUCUUGAAUAAGCCACGGCUAACUACGUGCCAGCAGCCGCGGUAAUACGUAGGUGGCAAGCGUUGUCCGGAUUUACUGGGUGUAAAGGGCGUGUAGCCGGGUUGGCAAGUCAGAUGUGAAAUCCUGCGGCUUAACCGCAGAACUGCAUUUGAAACUGUUGAUCUUGAGUACUGGAGAGGCAGACGGAAUUCCUAGUGUAGCGGUGAAAUGCGUAGAUAUUAGGAGGAACACCAGUGGCGAAGGCGGCCUGCUGGGCUUUAACUGACGCUGAGGCUCGAAAGCGUGGGGAGCAAACAGGAUUAGAUACCCCCGUAAC